RNAcentral lists this transfer RNA (64 nucleotides) under Erinaceus europaeus (western European hedgehog). It matches the Rfam family "tRNA". From Rfam's summary of the family: Transfer RNA (tRNA) molecules are approximately 80 nucleotides in length. Their secondary structure includes four short double-helical elements and three loops (D, anti-codon, and T loops). Lineage: Eukaryota; Metazoa; Chordata; Mammalia; Eulipotyphla; Erinaceidae. The record is from Rfam by way of RNAcentral.
GGUGGCUCAGCAGGAGAGCACAGGAUUUGUAAGUCUGUGGUCCCGAGUUCAAUCCCUGGCACCA